This 756-nucleotide ribosomal RNA is filed under the name uncultured cyanobacterium. RNAcentral describes it as "bacterial SSU rRNA". It matches the Rfam family "Bacterial small subunit ribosomal RNA", at positions 28 to 829 of the family's 1533-position model. Lineage: Bacteria; Bacillati; Cyanobacteriota. The record is from RNAcentral.
GAUGAACGCUGGCGGUAUGCUUAACACAUGCAAGUCGAACGGAACCUUCGGGUUUAGUGGCGGACGGGUGAGUAACGCGUGAGAAUCUGCCUCUAGGUCGGGGACAACAACUGGAAACGGUUGCUAAUACCCGAUGUGCAGCAAUGUGAAAGAUUUAUUGCCUAGAGAUGAGCUCGCGUCUGAUUAGCUAGUAGGUGUGGUAAUGGCGCACCUAGGCGACGAUCAGUAACUGGUCUGAGAGGAUGACCAGUCACACUGGGACUGAGACACGGCCCAGACUCCUACGGGAGGCAGCAGUGGGGAAUUUUCCGCAAUGGGCGAAAGCCUGACGGAGCAAUACCGCGUGAGGGACGAAGGCUUUUGGGUCGUAAACCUCUUUUCCCUGAGAAGAAGAUCUGACGGUAUCAGGGGAAUCAGCAUCGGCUAACUUCGUGCCAGCAGCCGCGGUAAUACGAGGGAUGCAAGCGUUAUCCGGAAUUAUUGGGCGUAAAGCGUCCGCAGGUGGCUCUGUAAGUCUGUCGUUAAAGAAUGGGGCUCAACCCCAUACAGGCGAUGGAAACUACAAGGCUAGAGUUUGGUAGGGGUCACGGGAAUUCCUAGUGUAGCGGUGAAAUGCGUAGAUAUUAGGAAGAACACCGGCGGCGAAAGCGCGUGACUGGGCCAGUACUGACACUCAUGGACGAAAGCUAGGGGAGCGGAAGGGAUUAGAUACCCCUGUAGUCCUAGCCGUAAACGAUGAUAACUAGGUGUUGCCCG